UGGCUUCUGGUGUGUGAUGACCUGAGA
This 27-nucleotide non-coding RNA is filed under the name Macaca fascicularis (crab-eating macaque). RNAcentral also lists the same sequence under 1 other name. Lineage: Eukaryota; Metazoa; Chordata; Mammalia; Primates; Cercopithecidae. The record is from RNAcentral.